This 70-nucleotide transfer RNA is filed under the name Geomys pinetis (southeastern pocket gopher). Its description in RNAcentral is "tRNA-Gly". It matches the Rfam family "tRNA". Rfam says of the family: Transfer RNA (tRNA) molecules are approximately 80 nucleotides in length. Their secondary structure includes four short double-helical elements and three loops (D, anti-codon, and T loops). The record is from RNAcentral. Lineage: Eukaryota; Metazoa; Chordata; Mammalia; Rodentia; Geomyidae.
ACUUUUUUAGUACAACAAGUAUAUUUGACUUCCAAUCAAAAGGUUUUGGUUUUAAACCCAAAAAAAAGUA